RNAcentral lists this small RNA (24 nucleotides) under Arabidopsis thaliana (thale cress). RNAcentral's name for it is "ATSL033200". Lineage: Eukaryota; Viridiplantae; Streptophyta; Magnoliopsida; Brassicales; Brassicaceae. The record is from RNAcentral.
AAAAAAGAAAGAAGAAGAAGAAAC